This 341-nucleotide ribosomal RNA is filed under the name uncultured bacterium. Its description in RNAcentral is "bacterial SSU rRNA". It matches the Rfam family "Bacterial small subunit ribosomal RNA", at positions 28 to 346 of the family's 1533-position model. The record is from RNAcentral.
GACGAACGCUGGCGGCGUGCCUAACACAUGCAAGUCGAACGAAGCACUGCGGAAAGAGACUUCGGUCAAUGGAAGCUUUGACUUAGUGGCGGACGGGUGAGUAACGCGUGAGGAACCUGCCUUUCAGUGGGGGACAACAGUUGGAAACGACUGCUAAUACCACAUAAUGUGUUUUGGGGGGCAUCCCCCGGAACACCAAAGAUUUAUUGCUGAAAGAUGGCCUCGCGUCUGAUUAGAUAGUUGGUGGGGUAAACGGCCUACCAAGUCGACGAUCAGUAGCCGGACUGAGAGGUUGAACGGGCCACAUUGGGACUGAGAUAACGGCCCAGACUCCUACGGGA